GGGUCAGGAGGUUGGUCGUGCCACCGGUACGUACUGGUCUCACUGAUUCCUCCUUCCUGAAGAACCGUAAUGCCAUUAAUUAGGUGUUGCGGGGAAACAGGACUGUCACUUUGAAAAAAUUAGAGUGUUUAAAGCAAGCUAACGCUUGAAUACAUUAGCAUGGAAUAAUGAAAUAGGACGAUCGAUCCUAUUUUGUUGGUUUCUAGGAUUGACGUA
This 216-nucleotide ribosomal RNA is filed under the name Glomeromycotina sp. RNAcentral describes it as "partial small subunit ribosomal RNA". The stretch from base 40 to 216 matches the Rfam family "Eukaryotic small subunit ribosomal RNA", at positions 686 to 864 of the family's 1831-position model. Lineage: Eukaryota; Fungi; Glomeromycota. The record is from RNAcentral.